AUCAACAAAGUAUUGGACAAAAAUGAAUGAGAAGGGGCGAAAUGUAUGGUAGGCAAAGCAUAUACUAGUGCACGAGAAGGAUUGAGGGCACUUCAGGACAAGAAUAUGUUGUGUCAAAGUUUGUCCCAUAGUUUGUCUCAAACCAAUCAUAUUAUUUCAUGUCACUUAAAAAAAAUAUUCAUGAUUUUAUCAAUUUUUGUUUCACUGUAAUUGGUUAGGAACAGGUUUCGGGAUAAGUUUCGGGACAAUAGAUCCCCAUCCCAACCUUGUCCCACUUUUUUUAACCAUGGCCAUAUCAAUACACAAGAGGUCCUUGUCAUCAACCAAUAUAGAGUGUGUGGCGCUCCUUGUGAAGGAUCUAUCAUCAAACUUAUGAUUUUGCUUACCUUAUUAUGAAUUGAAUGCAUCCAGCUAAUAGAACUAAUUUUCUUUAUUUUUGUUCUUGACUAAGGCUGUUUCUUUAUUGGGUUGAAAAAGAAGUUGUGCCUGACGUCAAGUUUUGGUGUUAUGGUCUGGAUUAUUGUGUGCA
Molecule: long non-coding RNA, 529 nt
Filed under: Lupinus angustifolius (narrow-leaved blue lupine)
Lineage: Eukaryota; Viridiplantae; Streptophyta; Magnoliopsida; Fabales; Fabaceae
Description: long non-coding RNA (LANG_LNC000126)
Source: RNAcentral